CCUACGGGAGGCAGCAGUGGGGAAUAUUGGACAAUGGGCGAAAGCCUGAUCCAGCAAUGCCGCGUGAGUGAUGAAGGCCUUUGGGUCGUAAAGCUCUUUUACCAGGGAUGAUAAUGACAGUACCUGGAGAAUAAGCUCCGGCUAACUCCGUGCCAGCAGCCGCGGUAAUACGGAGGGAGCUAGCGUUGUUCGGAAUUACUGGGCGUAAAGAGUACGUAGGCGGUUAUUCAAGUCAGAGGUGAAAGCCCGGGGCUCAACCCCGGAACUGCCUUUGAAACUAGAUAACUAGAGUCUUGGAGAGGUUAGUGGAAUUCCGAGUGUAGAGGUGAAAUUCGUAGAUAUUCGGAAGAACACCAGUGGCGAAGGCGACUAACUGGACAAGUACUGACGCUGGGGUACGAAAGCGUGGGGAGCAAACAGGAUUAGAUACCCUGGUAGUCCACGCCGUAAACGAUGAUAACUAGUUGUUCGGUCACUUGGUGACUGAGUGACGCAGCUAACGCAUUAAGUUAUCCGCCUGGGGAGUACGGUCGCAAGNUUAAAACUUAAGGAAUUGACGGCUGAGANGCGACGACGACGACGAGGAGAG
RNAcentral lists this ribosomal RNA (589 nucleotides) under uncultured bacterium. RNAcentral's name for it is "bacterial SSU rRNA". It matches the Rfam family "Bacterial small subunit ribosomal RNA", at positions 338 to 950 of the family's 1533-position model. The record is from RNAcentral.